AUUGAACGUUGGCGGCAGGCCUAACACAUGCAAGUCGAGCGGAUGAAGGGAGCUUGCUCCUGGAUUCAGCGGCGGACGGGUGAGUAAUGCCUAGGAAUCUGCCUGGUAGUGGGGGAUAACGUCCGGAAACGGGCGCUAAUACCGCAUACGUCCUGAGGGAGAAAGUGGGGGAUCUUCGGACCUCACGUUAUCAGAUGAGCCUAGGUCGGAUUAGCUAGUUGGUGGGGUAAAGGCCUACCAAGGCGACGAUCCGUAACUGGUCUGAGAGGAUGAUCAGUCACACUGGAACUGAGACACGGUCCAGACUCCUACGGGAGGCAGCAGUGGGGAAUAUUGGACAAUGGGCGAAAGCCUGAUCCAGCCAUGCCGCGUGUGUGAAGAAGGUCUUCGGAUUGUAAAGCACUUUAAGUUGGGAGGAAGGGCAGUAAGUUAAUACCUUGCUGUUUUGACGUUACCAACAGAAUAAGCACCGGCUAACUUCGUG
This 484-nucleotide ribosomal RNA is filed under the name uncultured bacterium. Its description in RNAcentral is "partial 16S ribosomal RNA". It matches the Rfam family "Bacterial small subunit ribosomal RNA", at positions 30 to 507 of the family's 1533-position model. The record is from RNAcentral.